RNAcentral lists this unclassified non-coding RNA (4730 nucleotides) under Hevea brasiliensis (rubber tree). Lineage: Eukaryota; Viridiplantae; Streptophyta; Magnoliopsida; Malpighiales; Euphorbiaceae. The record is from RNAcentral.
UCUAUAAGACGAAGCUUCCUCUGCUCAUGAUCAAUCAUGACAUUAUGGGGCUUCACAUCUCGAUGCAUAAUACCUUGUGAGUGGCAGUAAUCCAAUGCCUACACAAAGGAUCUUUAAUAACUGAAGAUUAUACUAGUAUUGAAAAGAUAAUGGUUCAAGAUAUGGACAUAGCGAGUAACAAAUAACACUUGAAGAUGACAAUUGCACAUUUAAUCUGAAACAGGGAGAGACGAUACACCAAUGCUACUUAAGUGUGAGAAACCAAAAAAAAUAAGCAGCACAAAAUUACAUGCCCUAAAGCAUAGCACCAACACAUAAAAGCACUUCAAAAUGGUCUUACACUGACCCAAAGCACCAAAAGGCUAACAAACUGAAGGAGACGCAUCAAAAGUUUAUCCCGUAAUACAAUCCUACCUUACAGUGUGUAAAGAAAAUUGCAACGAAAAAAACCAUUACGCUUUUAACUGCUGUUGAUUAUCAUUUAUCAAGGAACUGCAAAUAAGGUGUUCUUAUUCCUAAUUCUUCUGUUUAUGUUCAUGCCCCAAAACAAUCUGAAGAAUACUUCUAUCCUCUCAAACGUGGCAUGUUUAGAAACAUCAUGCCUAGCAAGGACAACAUCCUAAAGAAACCCUUCAAAUCCGAAAACAACUAUGGAUCCAACUUCCAAUAAUGUCAUUAGGAUAACUCGCAAAGCUCACUAAUUUGGAUAAAAGGCAGCAAAUAUUAGGUUGAAAGGAUAAAAAGAAAAGGUAGACACUGUGAUCUAUCAGAAGGCAAAACCUUACAUAUAGAGUUGAUCUUAAUUUUGCAUUGUGUGAUAGAUGAAAUUUGUGUUCUUAUUGUUUAGCUGCUAAAGUCUGUAUUGUGUUGGCUUCGGCUUCACAAUGCUACCUUAAUCAGUGUUGUGAAAGGCGCACGCUAGGCGCAAGGGGCAACAGAGGCUGCGCCUCUGACCAGGUGAGGCGAGCGCCCUCAUCCAGGAGCACCCGGGCACAGCGAGGAGCAAGACACGCCUAGGCACGCUCAAAUGAGGUGAGGCAGGCAUAUAAAAGGGCAUAAAAACAGAACCCUAAUUUAUUUUAUCCCACGGGAGGCAGCAAAGAAAGAAAAAAGGAAACUUUUUUCGACCAUCCACACAACAAGAGAAGCUCCCAAAAGAAAAAGGAGAAGAGAAGAAGAAGACAAGAAGACAAGAAAAAACCUUACCUUUUGUCACCCAUCUUUCCAUCCAACGCCUUUACACUAUACAGGUAAUUCUUUUUUUCUUUUUCUUUUUCUUUUAGGGUUGAUCAUCUUUUAUAAGCCUCAAUUCCAUGCUUAUAAAUGAUCGUGAUUACUUUUUUGGAUCAUUUGGCUGGAUUAUGUAUUGAGUUUAGUAUAAUUGUUGGAACUUGGUGGUACGAGAAGGAUUUUAGAAUGUUGUGUUUUUGUUUGAUUCCCUUAAUUAGCUACUCCCGCCGAAUUCACAGAAGGUUUCAUUUCCCUGUAAAUUUUUCUUCCUCUUGUGCUCUUAAAAGUGUUGAUACUGCCGAGAAGACCAAUUGCAAUGUACAUAAUUUUAAUUAUGCGGAAUUGCAGAACAGAAUGCAGGAUUGUGCUACUUCUGGUGACUUCUCACAAGCUCUCUUCACUUUUAAUUUCAUGAGGAACAUGCCUGGAAAGCCUACUGUAUACGAUUUUAAUGCUUUCAUGUAUUGUUAUUUGAAGUCUACGAAUGUUUCUUUUCAUGUGUUGAUAGAUGUUUACCUUGGAAUGAAGAGGUUUGGGCCUGCCCCAAAUGCUCCAACUUUUAAUACGCUUUGUAAUGGCAUGCUAUCAUUUGGAAAUUUGAAAGAUUCACUUUUUAUUAUUGAAGAGAUGUGUGGAAGUGGGUUUGUGCCAUCGUUUGAAAUUUUGUCAAAAUUGUUGAAAAAAUCACUUCAAUUCGGGAGUUUGAUGGAUUCACUUUAUGUUUUUGAGAUUAUGUUGAAGUUAAGCUAUGUUCCUACUGAGCCAACUUUUAAUAUGAUGAUUUGUAUGCUAAGCAAAGCUGGGAUGAUACAUGAAUCAUACUUAGUGUUUUCUGUUCUUUUUGAUAUGGGUUAUUUCUUCGGUGUACAUACGUUCAAUCCAAUUCUAUGGGCAUUGUGUAAGUCUAAUCAGAGUUAUACUGCUCUGCAAUUGUUUUACUCAAUGAAGAAGAGAGGUAUUCUGUAUAAUGUGUGCUCCUAUACAGCUUUGGUUUAUGGAUUUUGUAAGGAAGGGUUUCAGGAAGAUGCUCUACAGUGUUUAGAUGAGAUGCAAGGUAAUGGUUGUAAGCCCAAUGUCAUAACAUACACUGUGCUUAUUAAGUUUCUUUGUGAUAAUGGGAGGAUUAAGCAGGCAUUCAAAAUUGUGGGUAAGAUGGAAAGAGAAGGAUGCAACCCAGACUUGCUCACAUACAAUGUAAUUAUUCGUGAGCUUUGUCAUCAAGGUAGAAUGUCAGACAUUUUUGAGUUCAUUCAUAUCAUAGAUCAAAAGGGAUUUUCUCUCGAUUCAUACACACAUGCUGCCUUGGCUGGAGGCCUCUUAAAGAAUGGCAAAGUCGGGUUUGCUUAUGAAUUGUUGUUUGAUACAAUUUCUAAAGGCUUCAGUGUGGAUGUUGCUCUUUAUAAUAUAUAUCUCCAUUGUUUAUGUCGUCAGAACAGAUUGACAGAAGCAUUAACUAUGUUGAACAGAAUGAUAGAAGAAGGCUUUAUGCCAACUAAUGUGUCAUAUAACAUAAUUUUGGAUGGUUUUUGUAAGGAAAACGGUGUUGAUGAGGCUUUAGAGCUCUUGGACCAUUUUAAGUGGGAAGCGAAUGGGCCCGAUGUAGUUUCCUUCAAUACAGUUUUAUUUACGGCAUGCAAACAGAGUAAUUCCCAGAUGAUACUGAAGAUUUUAUAUCGAAUGAAGCAUGAAGGUAUUAAGUGUGAUGUUGUCAGUUUGACUUGUCUGAUCCGAUAUUUCUGCAGAGUAAGGAAAUUUUCAGUGUGUUUAAAGCUAUUAGAAACUAUGAUGCUUAGUGGCCUUAUUCCAACUAUAACUACUUUUGAAUUGGUAUUGGACAGACUUUGCAAGAAUGGAUUAACAGAAGAUGCGCUCCAAAUUUUUAAUUGUUUUAGAAACUUAGGAUUUCUUCCUAGUGUGGCAUCAUAUAAAAUUUGAAUCCAUGCUUCCAUUAGAGUACACGAUAAUUCCCUUGAAAGUCAAUUGCUUUGGGACAUAUGUAACCAGAGACGAAAACCAGAUGGUUCUACGCAUAGAUCCUUGAUUACUGCCCUUUGUAGGGAAGGAAAGGUAUCAGUUGCACAGAAAAGCUGGGCUUACUUCAAGAAAAGUAGAUACUUGGGUGACUUAUUGCUAAGGUUCAUGAUACUAGAAGGGUGUCAACUUGAUGUGCAACUCUAGAAAUCCUACAUCAAGCACAAUUAAAGGGUUGGAUGAAGAUUUUGUCCAAGGUUGGACAGAAGUCUAAGAGCUUGUCAUAGGCCACAUUUGAUAACAAAGAAACGCAUCUUGGGGCAAUACAAGCUAAUUGAAAAUUUUGGAGUAUGUUAUACUGCCUCAUUGUAUAACUUAUAUCUGCUUUUUUUUUUUUCUUUGGUGAGGACUGUUGCAUUGAAGAUUCAUAUCCUGAAUCAGGUAUGAAGAAUUUAAAUUUAAAGUUUGCUUUUUUACACUUUCUGGAUAUUUGGAGGGUUAAAAUGAUGCUUUGCUGAGUGUUUCUCCCCCCACCUUCAACCCUACUCCCCUAACCCUUUUUCUUUUCAAAGGGUAUCACCUGUACAUGGGAAUGAGCCUUCACAAGGACUUAUGCUAAGUUUUAUGUAAAUGGCCUUAAAGCCCUUGGUUUAAAAGUAUUACCGCUAUUCAGAACUGCACUUUUUUUUGGUAAUUUUCUUUUGUUCACAUUGUGCAUAUCUUGGUGCCAAAGCAUUCAAAUCUCAAGAGUGAGCACUUAUGUAGGAUCUAUCAGGUUGAAGUGGUUAUAAGCAGGAGUGAGCAUGGGUCAGUAUGGUUUAGUUCGGCCUGAAAAUUUGAAAAAAUUGAAAUUUAUAGUAGACCAAACCAAACUGAACCGAAUUAGGUAGAAAACUGAGUUGAGCUGAAUCGGUUCAGUUCAAUUCAUCAGUUUGGGUUUGAAGGAUUAUUGGAUUUGCUUUUCUUUGCUACGAAAAUGCCUUAACUUCUAAGCUGUUGAUUUUUAAGUUUUCAGCAAUAGUUCUGUGAAAUUUAACUUAUUUUAUGAUGUUUAUGUGGUGAACUUGCAGUUAAAUCAACUGAAGCUGAAAAGGAUUUGGAGCAAUUUUGCAUUGAACCAAAUAUAGAUGUUCUCCUUAGUGAUUUGAAGCUUGUGUUAGGAUCAGAGUUAAGGAUAGUUUAUCCGAUAAUUCUCAAUUUUGCUGUUAGUGGAGAGCUUGAGGUAAAUGGCUUUGCUCAUCCAAAAUGGACAAAACCUAUAGGUGUUCUCACAUUUGAGAAUGGUGAUGUCAAUCUUGUUGCCACUCAAGUGGGGCUUAAGCAAGAGCAUCUAAAUAUAGCAAAAUUUGAACCUGAGCAUGGACUAGAUCCUAUGCUAGACUUAGCUUUGGUUGGAUCUGAGUGGCAAUUUAGGAUUCAAAGCCGGGCCAGCAAUUGGCAAGACAAACUGGUGGUGACCUCCACACGUUCUGUGGAACAGGAUGCUCUCUCACCUAGUGAGGCUGCUAGAGUUUUUGAGAGUCAAUUAG